UACGUAGGGGGCAAGCGUUGUCCGGAAUCAUUGGGCGUAAAGCGCGCGUAGGCGGCCCGGUAAGUCCGCUGUGAAAGUCAAAGGCUCAACCUUUGAAUGUCAGCGGAUACUGCCGGGCUAGAGUCCGGAAGAGGCGAGUGGAACUCCUGGUGUAGCGGUGGAAUGCGCAGAUAUCAGGAAGAACACCAACGGCGAAGGCAGCUCGCUGGGACGGAACUGACGCUGAGGCGCGAAAGCGUGGGGAGCAAACAGG
This 253-nucleotide ribosomal RNA is filed under the name uncultured bacterium. RNAcentral's name for it is "partial 16S ribosomal RNA". It matches the Rfam family "Bacterial small subunit ribosomal RNA", at positions 524 to 776 of the family's 1533-position model. The record is from RNAcentral.